GCCAAAUAUUAUUAUUAUUAUUAUUAUUAUUAUUAUUAUUGUUGUUGUUGUUGUUGUUGUUGUUAUAGUACUGAAACCAUUGUUUUAGUUGUGACGUUAUAUUUACCUUAACCAAGAGCGUGAUUGGUUGAGACUGUCAGUGUCUCAGGAACUAGGACAAUAAAAGAUUGGCUGUAAAAUGACCACGCAACUGAGAAAAAAUGCUGUAAGAGGGAACAACAAGCCCACCGUGUGUAUUUUCAUGAGCCACUGAAACGCUUUUCCUUGUACAGGACCCUGUUACAUGAGCGCUGAGCGUACCGGAUGGGUGGCGAUGACGUCGACCUCCUGCGUUUCUCGCAUGCAGUUGCUGAACACGAUUAUUGAUUUUUCAUCAGCGGCAUCUCAGCUUGGGGGUCAGCAAGGCCAACCACUCAGCCCCAGGGGUUUGGGGCUGUGGAGCACCUUCCUUCAUGGACACUACCUCCGAAGUGCCCCCUUAGCCUCAGCUACACGAAACAGGAGCAGAACCAGAGAAGCAAACAGAGAAACAGCAAUCAGAACCGCUGGUGAGUAUUUCCUGGGGGAAAUUAAAAGACAUUAUUGAUCCACUGAGGAUUUUGCCGAGGCUGGGAAGGGAAGCCCAGAGUGCAGCGCGUGAUGGAGAGACAGGGCCACGUGGACCUGCGCACACCUGCACACGGGGCCUCGUGCAGAGCUUUAAUAAAAGUCGGCUCGGCAUCA
Molecule: long non-coding RNA, 723 nt
Filed under: Scleropages formosus (Asian bonytongue)
Lineage: Eukaryota; Metazoa; Chordata; Actinopteri; Osteoglossiformes; Osteoglossidae
Description: lncRNA (ENSSFOG00015030356.1)
Source: RNAcentral